CCAAGAAAUAGACUCUUAACUGUAGAGAACAAACCAAUGGUCAACAGAGGGGAGGUGGGUGGAGAAAUGAUUGAAACAGAUGACGGGAUUAGGGCAUGAACUCAUCAUGAUGAGCACUGUGUGAUGUAUGGAAGUGCUGAAUCACUGUAUUGUACACCUGAAACUAAUAUAACACUGUAUGUUAACUAAACUGGAAUUAAAAUUUUAAAAAGAUAGAAAAAGAAAAAUGAGAACGAAUAGAAAAUCAUAAAUCAAUCCACACAAAUAUGCUCAGUUGAUUUUUUGGCAAAUGUGCACAAAUUGUCCUGGAGUAAUUCAACAUCCACUGACCAAAAACAAAAAUUAAAAGUGAACUUUGACCAAAGUCUCACAUCUUAUACAAAAAUUAACUAAUAACGAAUGGAUCAUAGAUGUAAAUACAAAAUGCAAAUUAUAAUACCUUAAAAAUAUGAGUAAUGUUUAAUUAUAUCUUAAUAAAAAUAAAUAUUCCUAAAUUGUCAUUUUUUAAUGUUUUGGGUUUUGUCCCCACAUAAAAAUAUAUAUUAAAAAAUAUAAUUUGAAAUAGGGUUUUAUUUGCAAGUAGAAUUCAAUUAUAUUUGGUUUGUACAUAAUAGUAGAACACAAUGGAGAAUGGAUUGCAUUCCCUCACUAUGCAGGUCAAGAUCUAGUUACAUAAAUGAACACACAAAAAUUUUUAUACAGAAAUCAUCUAUGCUUCGAAUAAUAUUUCAGACAAGACACAAAUAAAUUUCCUGUUGCCCUCAAGUUUACUGACUCACUGGUUUGUUUCAGGAACAGACAAAAUGAACUAAUUCCUCAAAAAGCACAAUCUACCAAAAUUCACCCAAGAUGAAAUAGAUCAUUUGAGUAGCCCUAUUACUAUUAAGGAAAUUGAAUUCAUAAGUUUAACCUUCGCAAAAGAACUCCAUACUUACUUAAACCGUCUUUACUUACUGCUUUAGUAUGUUCUUCCACCCGCUAUCCCUGUUUUACCACCAAGUUCACAUUCUUCAAAGCACAUACCAUAAUUUGUAAUCAUCCUUUUUUUAAGUUAUUAAAGUCUCCCUUCCAUAGAAGUGCAAACACCAUAAGGACAGGGACAAGAAGCUGUUUUUAAAAUUCAAAACCAUAUAAUCAGCACCUAAAACCCCUAAGACAAGGGUCAGAUGAGAAGCAGUGAAGAAGUCAGAAUUUAUAAUGCAAAUUUUUGGCUUUUCCUACCGUAAUUAGACCAUCACGAUGUCUUCUUUUUAUAAUUUAUGCUUAAUCCGUCAUUUGCUGAACUGAGUAUUGUCCAUCCUCCCACAUUUCCUUUUACUGUGAGGAGGCCAUGGAGGAGGAACAGAGGAGUCAGCCCUAAGAACGAAGCACUGGCAGUAUGCGGGAGCCCACUCCUGCCCAUUUGCAAGAGGGGAAGCUGUGCAUCUCUUCCCAACUCCGCCCUCUGUGGCAUCACAUGAGUCCUUUCUAAUGGACUAUGGUGGGAGUAUUUAUACCUCAGAAAUGAAUACACACUACAACUCAGGACUUCUUUCCCUCCUGAAGAACCAGUUGUUAAACCUUUACCAGCACACCAUGGAAACUUCUGGCCUGUAGCUAAGAAAUUAAAUGAAAUUAUUACAGAAAACAGAUACGAAGUGGAAAAAGGAAUGGGUUGGAAAAGAGUAGAGGAAAACAGUUAUUGAGCACCUCAUAUGUUUUCCAAUUUAAACCAUCCAGUAAUUCUGAAAAAUAGGUGUUAUCAUCAUCAUCAUCCCUAAACAGAGAUUGGGAAUCUAAAUCUAUAACAUGGUAGAUUAUGGAUUUAAGAUUUAAAGUCAGGUCUUUCUCUCUCCCAUGCCUUUGACCUUUCCAUAUAUUAUGCUUCCUGAAGAAUAACUCUUUGCUGCUUGUAAGUUCUUAAGGGAUACAGGUCUCUGGAUUUAUUUAUUUUUUAAUCAGAUUCAGAAAUGUUACGGGAAUCUCUUUAAUACUGACAAAUUUACACCAUUUGUGUAUGGUUUUUAUUUGUUAUUCAUUAUUAUAACUGAAAGAAAACAAAUCUCUAAAUCUAAUUUGGAAUUUCCAUUUAUUGCAGGGGGAGGGACAGAGGGAGAGGGAGAAAAAAACUUAAGCAGGCUCCACGCCCAGUAUGGAGCCUGACACAGGGCUUGGUUUCACCACCGUGAGAUCAUGACCUGACCUGAAAUCAGAAGUCGUGUGCUUAACCCACUGAGCUACCCAGGAGCCCCUCGUUUGGAAGUUUUAGAUGCCCUAAAUCUGUUUUCUUUUCUCUUUUCUUUUUUUCCCCCCUCUUCAUCAUAGUAGCACAACAGUCUAGCAGAAGAAACUUGACUUAUGGUUUGAAGAUAUAAAAGUGGUAUUGAAAAAUGGCUCAAAAGUGUCAUAAUUUAGAGAAAUGCAACCUAGACAGAAAUAAAUACUAAUAUACCAGUUAGAAGAGUAAAACCAAACCAUAGAAUCUUACCAAAAUAAAAAACUAGAUAAAGACCAAAUUGGAGUCAUUGACCACACUAAUGAGACUUGGAUAUCUCAACCAUAAAAUACAUGAUUGAAAUCAAUCAAUCAUAAAAUACAUUGAAAACUGAUAGAGUCAGAGACAAAGCCAUCUAGUAAGAACGUGUAAAAUAUCCAUAACUUGGCAGUCACAUACGAAGGAAGAUAUUUCAUGGGGUUUCGUUGACCUGCCAUCAGGUUGGAGCGUCAGGGUUUUAUUUAUGGGGCAAAAAAAGUUGAAUAUGUUUCAGACAUUGUGAUGGAUGCCAGUAGACAGCAAAAACAGAAGCCUAUUAUUUCAACCCACUUAUUUUCUUUAAAAUGUGGCGAUAUUAAACUGGAUGAAAAAAAUCAUAAUGAAAAUUCUAAAAUUCUUCUAACAUAAGACAAGUCUAAUAUGGAUAACCACCCCGAGAAAUAAUCUCAAAGAAGAAAGGCCGACCUAUCACAGAAACGAAUGGCGCUGCUUAAAUGAUAAACAAAUUUUAAAAUGUAGUCCGCAGUGAUAAGAGAGUAUAGCAGAGGAUUCACGAGCUCAAAGAAUGUUGUUAACAAUGUCAGUGGGAGCCAGGCAGCAGGGGAACAUCUGCUUAAUGGGGACUCUUAACUAAGUAAUAUAAACUAUUGAUCAGAUGGUAAACUGAUCUGAAAGAAAAUCAUUUCCGUGUAUCUUAGGUCUCGGAUAAAUUCAGUGUUGAAGACCGUCAGAGCAACUGGCAUGGCCACAGAGAGAACAGUCUGGGAAUUGAAUGUUCUUUUGCCAUGCUGUAUCCUGAGUACUUAGUUUGUACGAGGUUCUUGGCUGAGACCCCCUGUAAAAGACUAACAGGAAACAACAAAUUUAAUAGCAUAUAUACCUCCUGUAUCCAUGGGAUCCAGGAAAACACUAGUGUCUGCAUGCUGACUUCUGGAAAUCAAGACUCACCUACUGCGGGCCUCAACACAAAAUUAACACGGAGUUCAGCAAUGUAUUAAGGGAAGUUUCAGAAAAUGUCUUUUGAAUAUCAUUAUCAAAGAACGUGGGAUCCCAAAGUCACCCAGCAGGAGGCAGCAUUGUCUUUACAGCCUACAGCUGCACACAGUUCCUCUAGGAUUCUGAAGCAAGAAAGACUCUGCCCACGUUGCUUCCGCACCGCGCAGCUAAUCUUUGAGGACACAGAGUGACAUUCUACCAAUCUCAGUAACACCUGAAUUCAUAAAAACACAGAGGAACAAGGAGACAAAAUGGACCGACAGUGUCCAUUGGAAAAAAAAACCCACUUCAUUCAACAAGUGAUUUUACUGCAGUGCCCCUGUGAAUAAGAGGUUCCCAAACCCUGGAAGAAACAAUUAUCUUUGAAUUCCAUCUUGUUUAAAAUCUGAUAAGGCCAGUGCCUCUGGGAACAAAUGGCCAGUCUCUCAUACCCCACGUUCACCUCCAAUGUCAAGAGAUGCUACCAGCAAACAGAAGGGCCAGGGGACGCUGAGCCUAACACCUCAGCCUUUCCCUCUGCAAUGACACCCUUCCACCAAGCACACUCCAAAACAUCUUGGAGAGUAGCCAGUGGAAUAAAUGGAAGCAAAACAGAAAAUCUAUUUUUUGCAUCCUACUCUGUUCCUUUUCACAGAUAACUUCCUACUUUUGCCUUGGAUCCAUUUGUGCUUCCAUAUUCACAGAAAAAGAUAGUCAGUAAGUAAACCCUCCAUACUUAAAAGGCUGACACCAUUGAAUGUAAUAAUCUACGGUGAGACAAGAAUAUAAAGAAUAUAAUCCACAACUUAGUUUACUACAUGCAAGAAAUCUCAUUCCAUUUAUCUUUGCAGUAGCUAGGAGUGGCCUGAUAUUUCUGAUAGCAUAGGGCAUAUUAUAACACACAACCAUAAUAAUGGAAGGUUUCAUUGGCAACAAUAAAUUGCUAGCCCAUCCUAGAAGCAGAAGGGAGUAUAUAUUAAUAUUUCCUGAGGUUUUUUUUAUUGGUGCUAGAAGCUGAUGUUUUCAUUUAAUUUCCAUCACAACCGUUAAUACCCUCAUUUUAUAGAUGAGUAAACUGAGGCACAGAGAAAGGAAGAAACUUGGCGGAGCCCCACAGUCAGUGAGUGGUAGGGCUGGGGUUUCUGUCAAGCAGCCUGACUAAUUCUUAAUUAUGGUUGUAAAGACGCUGACUUUUGAGUCAAAAAGUAAACAGAGGUGAUAAUUGCAAGAGAACACAUCGUUUACUCAAUGCUAAAGAAAGGAUUUGGAAGGUAGGUCACUUUGGUUGCUGAGUCAAUAUCCAAGUUUCUACUGGUAAAGGUAAGGAAAGUGUCAUUUCCACAUGACUGCAUUUUAGGUUUCCAGACACGAGCAAGCUCUUUCUUUUCCUGUAUUUCUGGCUCAGCCUGAAGGAGAUACACAAACUCCAGUACAAGGAUUUUCUUUUCAGACCGUUCAAUUUUUUUUUAAAGUCGUUUCAGUUUGGAGCUAAGAAUGACUUUCGUCCAAUUUAAUCACCACAAGAUUCAUAUCCUAGCAAGAGAAGGAUGGAAAAUAAAAAUCCAUUCGAUUAUAUUGACUAUUUGGCCUAUCGUUACUAAUCCUCUUAGCGUUUGGAAGCACCGAUUUUUUUUUUCACGUUCUCUCGGGUGGUUUAAUGUUAUAUCUUACUGAUGGAAAACUAUAACUUAGAAAAGGUAAUUAUCAGAGUGUCUGGGUGUCUCGGUCAGUGAAGUGCCCAACUCUUGACUUCAGCUCAGGUCACAAUUUCACGGCUUUGUGGGUCUGAGCCCCACAUCGGGCUCUGUGCUGUCAGAAUUCCUGCUUGGGAUUCUCUCUCCUCUCUCUGCCCCUCUCCCACUUGUGCUCGCUCUCUCUCUCUCGCUCUCUCUCUCUCUCAAAAAUAAAUAAAUAAACUUAAAAAUAAAGCAACUAUUUUCCUCAGAGUCAAUUAAUGAGUGGUAAAGGUUUGGUGAGAAUCCAGUCAUCCUGGCUCCCAAGUCACUGCCCUCUGCACCACUCUGCUCCCAGGUGAUGAUGAGCCCUUUGCAAAUAUCCACAGAUGUCUUUUCGUCUCCAUUUUUCUCUGCUAGCAACAUUCUAUGAUUUUCACAAAGAAACGAAAACAUAAUGUAUCCCAACCCUCAUUUACUACAUGUGGCCAUUUGAACUUUAAAGUAGUUAUGUCAGCAAAUUGAACAUACCUUGUCGGCACCCCCAUGAAAAUGCUUCUCGAGGUGGCAAUCUAAUUCCUGUAUCACAAUAACCAGUAUAGGAAACUCAUGACUUUUUCAAAGCAAUGCCAGCAUGUGAACUUGCGUAGCCACUCCAUGGAAGAUAUCCAUGGUAGGCAAUGGUACACAGAAUGUAAUGACAGGCUAUUGUCCUGCACAUGACAUAUCAUCGCUUUACAAAAAUGGCUGUCACAGAAUCUGCCCUUCUUCCUCAAAUCAUCUAGGACCCUGCUACUCUCCCUUUAAGAGAUGAAAUGUAACUGCCCUCCUCCCCUUGAAUGUGAGCAGGCUUGUGACUUGCUCAACAACAAAAAUGUGUGACUUCUGAGGCCAGGGUGUGGGAGGCGGAUGUAGGAGCCCUGAAUUGCUGUGUCAGCGGGCUGACUUCCCUAAGGCCACCAUGCUGUAAGGAAGCUCAAUCUAGUCUACUUGGAGAGAUGCUAGGAUUAUCAUAUAAAGAGAGGGAUGCCUGGCCAGCCCUUAUUUGUCUAGCGCCAGUGAACUACCAUUGUAGGAGGUUCCUCUAACCAGAACUUCCAAGUCGGGGAGAGAGAGGACUAGCAGUGAUUCCCUGCAGAGGUCUUGGUGGCAGCAAAACCAGGAGGGUGCAGAAGCAAUAAGAAGAUUGUCUUUCUUUCCUUCUCCUGUUUCUCAUCCCUUCAAAGCUCCCAAGGUUCCUGCCUAAUUCUAAAGCUGGACUCCCAAUCUUCUACCCAUUCUCAGUCCCUUACUCCAACACACUCUUGUCUGUUUGUAAAUCCCUCUUUUGUGAGUUAGCCAGUCAGUUUCUCUUGCUUGCAACCAAAGACCUGACAUUUAAACUUAGAGAUGACAUUUAAAUUCUCCUGACAUUUAAACUUAGAGAUGCCUAUUGCUUCAUAUAAGCACAAACAUAAAUAAUCAUCCAGCUUCAUUUUUUAAGGAAAAGGAUUUUUAGGGAAUGUGAGUAGUUCCCAACAUGAUGAACCCAGACACGUUGUCUGGAGCUCUGGCAGCCACUUUGAAGCCAUGAGAUAAUCAAUAUAAGGGAAAUGCCAAAUGAUCACAUUUCUGAAAUCAUUUAGCUUCAUUGUAAGCAGUGGUCUUCCCCGGGGUUUCUUGCAGAAAAAAAAAUCUAUUUAGCCAUUGUUACUCAUCUUUUUCUGUUAAUUACAGAGGACCACAAAAUUAAUUGAUAUAUACGUAGAAACUAUCCCUGUGCAUUCCAUGUGAGGCCUGUAGGAACAAAAACAAAAGAGGAAGAAAGAAAGGCAAAAAGGAGUCAUGCUCAAAUCACUUGACCUCAGCAUUCUGGUGACAGAGGUGUCCGUUGAGGUGCCACACAGGAUAGAGAGCAGAGGAAGGUCGACUCCAGAAGUAUUUGUGAGCACUUGCUUACCCUGGCGUCCGUAUCAGCCAAGUCGUCAUUCAAGCCAAAAUCCUCAGAUCGGUCACCCUGAAAAAAAUCCCCAUUCUCUGACUGCCAGGUCAGGUUUUUGACUCAUUUUGUCCCAUCUCACCAGGAAAAGGGAAAGGUAAGUUGGAGUGGUUUAUUUACAUUUUCUUCAUUCUUUAUCUGAUGUUCAUAAACAGACAAAACUUAUCAAUUUAAAUUUUUUAAUAUUUUUUAAGUUUAUGUAUUUAUUUUGAGAGAAAGAAAGAGAGAGAGAGAGAGAGAG
Long non-coding RNA from Felis catus (domestic cat), 7340 nucleotides. RefSeq lists it as uncharacterized. NCBI's taxonomy places the organism in Eukaryota, Metazoa, Chordata, Mammalia, Carnivora, Felidae. The record is from RefSeq and is a predicted model, not a curated record. The transcript is spliced from 11 exons.